Molecule: ribosomal RNA, 437 nt
Filed under: uncultured bacterium
Lineage: Bacteria
Description: bacterial SSU rRNA
Rfam family: Bacterial small subunit ribosomal RNA
Source: RNAcentral
CCGGGGGAAAGAUNUUAUCGGCGAAAGAUCGGCCCGCGUUAGAUUAGGUAGUUGGUGGGGUAAUGGCCUACCAAGCCUACGAUCUAUAGCUGGUCUGAGAGGAUGAUCAGCCACACUGGGACUGAGACACGGCCCAGACUCCUACGGGAGGCAGCAGUGGGGAAUCUUGCACAAUGGGCGAAAGCCUGAUGCAGCCAUGCCNCGUGAAUGAUGAAGGCCUUAGGGUUGUAAAAUUCUUUCGCCAGGGAUGAUAAUGACAGUACCUGGUAAAGAAGCCCCGGCUAACUUCGUGCCAGCAGCCGCGGUAAUACGAAGGGGGCUAGCGUUGUUCGGAAUUACUGGGCGUAAAGCGCACGUAGGCGGACUUUUAAGUCAGAUGUGAAAUCCCGGGGCUCAACCUCGGAACUGCAUUUGAAACUGGAAGUCUGGAGUUCAGG